CGCAGCAAACGCAUUAAGUGCCCCGCCUGGGGAGUACGGCCGCAAGGCUAAAACUCAAAGGAAUUGACGGGGGCCCGCACAAGCGGCGGAGCAUGCGGAUUAAUUCGAUGCAACGCGAAGAACCUUACCAAGGCUUGACAUACACCGGAAACGGCCAGAGAUGGUCGCCCCGCAAGGUCGGUGUACAGGUGGUGCAUGGUUGUCGUCAGCUCGUGUCGUGAGAUGUUGGGUUAAGUCCCGCAACGAGCGCAACCCUCGUCCCAUGUUGCCAGCGGGUUAUGCCGGGGACUCAUGGGAGACUGCCGGGGUCAACUCGGAGGAAGGUGGGGAUGACGUCAAAUCAUCAUGCCCCUUAUGUCUUGGGCUUCACGCAUGCUACAAUGGCCGGUACAAAGGGCUGCGAUACCGCGAGGUGGAGCGAAUCCCAAAAAGCCGGUCUCAGUUCGGAUUGGGGUCUGCAACUCGACCCCAUGAAGUCGGAGUCGCUAGUAAUCGCAGAUCAGCAACGCUGCGGUGAAUACGUUCCCGGGCCUUGUACACACCGCCCGUCAAGUCACGAAAGUCGGUAACACCCGAAGCCGGUGGCCCAACC
Molecule: ribosomal RNA, 592 nt
Filed under: Cellulomonas sp. m5-15
Lineage: Bacteria; Bacillati; Actinomycetota; Actinomycetes; Micrococcales; Cellulomonadaceae
Description: bacterial SSU rRNA
Rfam family: Bacterial small subunit ribosomal RNA
Source: RNAcentral